UAAUAUAUUUGUCUGUAUAAUAUUUUGUGAAUUGGUUUAGGACACAGUGGUGUCUUUUUUUUAAGCAAGUAUCCAUUGAGAGGGGUCAGAGGAUUAGCUCAAGCUCCAACAUAUCUAGCUGCUACCUUGCUUAACAUAGCUGCUACCUCAAUCGCUUUAUUUUUUUGUGUUUUCCCCCCUGUGGCAUUUAUUCUGUGCACAUGAACACGUUUUCAGAAUUGCUAUGUGUAACUCAGACGGUUACUCUUGUGUGUUUUGCUGCUAGUUGUGCGAACGAGCCAGACAAACCAGCUGGGAGGAGGACGGAAGCACCCCUUCUCCAUCCGCGUUCAGUUGCUAAAUACGGAUCCACCCCGUAGUCAACAGCCGACAGAGUCCUUCCACAACCACAUACUUAUGCCAGUAAAAGCCACAGCUUUUCUCCUCCAAUCCAAGAAGCCUGGACUGCAGUCACCAUCUCAACACACCAACCAAGAGAAAGGCGGAUGGCUCAAUUCAAUAUGGAAAAUUGCACAAUAAAAGUUCCAGGACAAGAAGGCUGCAUACUGUGAACGUCAACCUUCAGGGCACCGUCCUGCGCAGAAGACUUUCUACCCUAAGAGGGAUGGCUGACCGCAGACACUCACAACCAGCAUAGACGCCUCCAACCUCAAACUAGGCCCUUCACAGUUGCUGCACUUACCCACCUUCCCAGAGUUUUUGUGUGGUAAUGACAACUGUAAAUAUAGUAUAAAGUAAUGUAUCUAGUGUCAUGUGUAAUACAUUGUUUAAAUUGUCCAUUGUCCAUUGCUUCCAUUUCAAUGACAGUAAAUAUUGGUGGACACAAUUUGACUGUGUGGCUUUUUUUAAUUCAUUCUCUGACUGAAAAUGCAUGGUUACAUAAUUUAUAUAUUCCA
Engraulis encrasicolus (European anchovy) is the source of this 896-nucleotide long non-coding RNA. RefSeq lists it as uncharacterized. NCBI's taxonomy places the organism in Eukaryota, Metazoa, Chordata, Actinopteri, Clupeiformes, Engraulidae. The transcript is spliced from 4 exons. The record is from RefSeq and is a predicted model, not a curated record.